UUUAGUCAUUCAUUCACUCAUAAACCUAUUCAUAAUGUUUCAUUUACUCAUUAAAUUUUUAAAAUAAAUUUAGUACCUGGUCCAUAUUUGGAAUUCAGUUAACUUUUGUGGAAUAAGUGAAUGAAUGGGUGGGGUCCUAGUUGACCAACCUUUGUCUUAGUAGAUUAAGAUUCAUCUACUUAACAGGCAGGAACAAGACAAGAGUUUCAUGAAGAGCCUCAUGAAGCUAUAUAAGUCUGUGAUGGAGAACUGAUGCUAGCAGUGUCAGGAAUAUCACAAAGGGUACCAGUCCAAUGGGGCACAGGGUUACUAUAGUUCUGACAUGAUCCUGCACUUCUCAAGUGUGGAAUUAUGCUUCUAACAAAGCCAAGGACUACAGGAAGAUAUCUGAUGAACUUUAACGUUCCUUUGGGCCUUUUUUAUGAUCAUUUUGAAGAUGCUUCAUUACUGCUACAUAACAUUAAGUAUCAUUAUUGAUUGGUCUGUGCUAUUACCUUACUUGCUAUUAAAUAUUGUAAAUAUCACCCCUGCCACCAUGAGAUCAGCUUUCAGUUCAGAUACCAUUUGGAAAUGGCUCUUCCCAUGAAGAGUUUAUAAUGAUCCUCCGUUCCUCCCAACAUGAUGGAGAGAAAGGCACAAGUGCCCAGUUCAGUGAGAAGUGUUGCUCAGUUGAAAAACAGGCAGGUGUCAUUUCCAGGGCAAUAAAUAUAUAGGUAGCAGUGGUUUUACAAGAUGAAAAUUCCUAUAGACAUCUAUUGCUAAAUGUUGUUCUUGUAUAUGUUUUGGGGAACUGUAUAAGCUGAGAUUGAGAAGUGAGGAUCCAGACACAGAGAAGGGAUCAAUUCCCAAAGAGAAAAGAACAGCAUGGAAAACAGAAACCAGAUGAAGAGGAAUUCAGGAACUAUGCUGAGGCAUGGAAUGUUCUUCUGGGCUACUAUUUCCUUCAAUCAAGUUAAUUUUCAUGCAUUCUUACAACCACGUGGACUCUGAUAUCUACCAGAACACCUGAGAAGACCCUGUCUCCUGGUUUUCUUGCUUUCACCAGCCUUACAAGUAUUUACAGCAUAAAAUAUCUAUGGUCAGUGAAGAGGUGGAAGAGGAAUCUCCAGGCAUCCCAAGCAACAUGAAUAGAGAGGAAGAUCAGCCUUGAGCUAACUACUGCCAGUCCUCCUCUUUUUGCUGAGGAAGACUGGCCCUGAGCUAACAUCUGUGCCCAUCUUCGUCUGCUUUAUAUGUGGGAAGCCUACCACAGCAUGGCUUUUGCCAAGCGGUGCCAUGUCUGCACCCGGGAUCUGAACCUGCGAACCCCAGGCUGCCAAGAAGCAGAACAUGCAAACUUAACUGCUGUGCCAUGGGGCCGGCCCCGAUGUGCUCCAUUUUUAAGUUGUAAAAUACAAAUAUUAUACAUACUGGGAAUAUAAUAGCUUAAUGGAUUUUCUUAGGAAUAUAGUUUCAUGAAGUGCAUGAAUGGUGUGUAUUGAAUCAGCCUGUCUAGAUAUGGAGACCAGGAAAGCUGAAUCAGCUUCAUUCUAAACCAUCAACAUCUGUGACCUUGGAACAAAUCAAUAGAGUCUAUUCAGCUUGUCUUUGGGAAAUGGAGUUAAUUCAACUUCUAAUUCAAGUCAAUUAAUAUCUAUGGGUCCAUCACGUUGUUCCUGGCUCCAAGGAUACAACAUAUGGUUAGUGUUCUCGUCCUCCAGCAGCCCUCCAUCUAGCUGGGAGACAGAUUUGUACACAUUGAACCAAAGCACAAGUUCAGGCUGUGGCCAUCGCACAAACAAAGCAUUACAGGGAAACAGAUAAUGACUGAAGGUUGAAGGAAGCUGGGGGAGGGGAAAGCUUCACAGAGAAGGGGAAAUUUAAGUUAGACAUUUAAGUAAAAGUGCCUUGUUCCUUCAUUCUUACAAAAUGAAUUCUCAAGAAUCCUAUAAAAUCACAUAUCUUUUUUUCCUGACUGAUCAGAG
RNAcentral lists this long non-coding RNA (1964 nucleotides) under Equus caballus (horse). RNAcentral's name for it is "lncRNA (ENSECAG00000048480.1)". Lineage: Eukaryota; Metazoa; Chordata; Mammalia; Perissodactyla; Equidae. The record is from RNAcentral.